UGGUUCUGGCAUCGAUGAAGAACGCAGCGAAAUGCGAUAAGUAAUGUGAAUUGCAGAAUUCAGUGAAUCAUCGAAUCUUUGAACGCACAUUGCGCCCGCCAGUAUUCUGGCGGGCAUGCCUGUUCGAGCGUCAUUUCAACCCCUCGGGCCUCUCGCAGAAGCCCGGCGUCGGGGCCUCCCCGCCCUCGCCGGCGGGGGCCCCCAGAGACAGUGGCGGACCCGCCGCGGCUCCGAGCGCAGUAUAACGCAACGCUCCGGUGCCCGCGGAGGGACUCCUGCCGUGAAACACCCCAAUACACCAAGGUUGACCUCGGAUCAGGUAGGAAUACCCGCUGA
RNAcentral lists this unclassified non-coding RNA (336 nucleotides) under uncultured fungus. RNAcentral describes it as "partial contains 5.8S ribosomal RNA and internal transcribed spacer 2". The stretch from base 1 to 133 matches the Rfam family "5.8S ribosomal RNA", at positions 22 to 154 of the family's 154-position model. Lineage: Eukaryota; Fungi. The record is from RNAcentral.